This is a long non-coding RNA of Homo sapiens (human), 528 nucleotides long. RefSeq lists it as uncharacterized. NCBI's taxonomy places the organism in Eukaryota, Metazoa, Chordata, Mammalia, Primates, Hominidae. The record is from RefSeq and is a predicted model, not a curated record. The transcript is spliced from 3 exons.
GUUUCUGAAUAAGGUCACAUUCUGAGGUUGGAGGUGGACAUGAAUUUUGGAGGGACACUAUUUAACCCACUACUGCUAACCCAGCUUGAGGAGCCUAAGCCAACUGCUGGUCUGUGUGCUUCAUGCACCAAACCCAGCACUUCCAGCCUCCCAGAAGACAGAGUGAGAGCCCCAGAGUGAGAUACAGAAACAUGGAGAUCCCAAACAGACCGAAAGAUGGUGGCAUGGAGGCUGGGAAAGGGAAGGAGAUGGCAUUUUCCAGGAAAUCACAAACUAAGCAGAAACUCAAAAGAAAAAUACAACCAAGUGCCAACUAUUUUUUGACAGAAAUGUGAAUUUAAAAGUCAAGCACCCAAGAACCCCAGCUAUCUCAUCAACACUUCAGAUGCCUCAGAAACACAUUGGAAUUUUUAAAAAUUGAUUCUGCGAAUCUCCCCCUUCCACUUCUCUUCUGACCACGUGGGGUUCGCAGCAGAAUACACACGAUAUAGACACAUUCCCUGAAGUGUAAUAGAUUUGAAUUGCACA